This 333-nucleotide unclassified non-coding RNA is filed under the name soil metagenome. RNAcentral's name for it is "partial contains 5.8S ribosomal RNA, internal transcribed spacer 2, and large subunit ribosomal RNA". The stretch from base 1 to 120 matches the Rfam family "5.8S ribosomal RNA", at positions 35 to 154 of the family's 154-position model. The record is from RNAcentral.
GAUGAAGAACGCAGCGAAAUGCGAUAAGUAAUGUGAAUUGCAGAAUUCAGUGAAUCAUCGAAUCUUUGAACGCACAUUGCGCCCGCCAGUAUUCUGGCGGGCAUGCCUGUUCGAGCGUCAUUUCAACCAUCAAGCCCCCGGCUUGUGUUGGGGACCUGCGGCUGCCGCAGGCCCUGAAAACCAGUGGCGGGCUCGCUAGUCACUCCGAGCGUAGUAAUACAUCUCGCUCAGGGCGUGCUGCGGGUUCCGGCCGUUAAAAAGCCUUAUUUACCCAAGGUUGACCUCGGAUCAGGUAGGAAGACCCGCUGAACUUAAGCAUAUCAAAGCGGAGGA